GACGAACGCUGGCGGCGUGCUUAACACAUGCAAGUCGAACGAUGAAGGGGGAGCUUGCUCCUCUGGAUUAGUGGCGAACGGGUGAGUAACACGUGAGCAAUCUGCCCCUGACUCUGGGAUAAGCGUUGGAAACGACGUCUAAUACCGGAUACGAGCCGAGCAGGCAUCUGCAUCGGUUGGAAAGAACUUCGGGCAGGGAUGAGCUCGCGGCCUAUCAGCUAGUUGGUGAGGUAAUGGCUCACCAAGGCGACGACGGGUGGCCGGCCUGAGAGGGUGACCGGCCACACUGGGACUGAGACACGGCCCAGACUCCUACGGGAGGCAGCAGUGGGGAAUAUGGCACAAUGGGCGCAAGCCUGAUGCAGCAACGCCGCGUGAGGGACGACGGCCUUCGGGUUGUAAACCUCUUUUAGCAGGGAAGAAGCGAGAGUGACGGUACCUGCAGAAAAAGCACCGGCUAACUACGUGCCAGCCGCCGCAGUAA
This 484-nucleotide ribosomal RNA is filed under the name uncultured bacterium. Its description in RNAcentral is "partial 16S ribosomal RNA". It matches the Rfam family "Bacterial small subunit ribosomal RNA", at positions 28 to 523 of the family's 1533-position model. The record is from RNAcentral.